Molecule: ribosomal RNA, 465 nt
Filed under: Vreelandella stevensii
Lineage: Bacteria; Pseudomonadati; Pseudomonadota; Gammaproteobacteria; Oceanospirillales; Halomonadaceae
Description: partial 16S ribosomal RNA
Rfam family: Bacterial small subunit ribosomal RNA
Source: RNAcentral
CCUACGGGCGGCAGCAGUGGGGAAUAUUGGACAAUGGGGGGAACCCUGAUCCAGCCAUGCCGCGUGUGUGAAGAAGGCCCUCGGGUUGUAAAGCACUUUCAGUGAGGAAGAACGCCUGGUGGUUAAUACCCAUCAGGAAAGACAUCACUCACAGAAGAAGCACCGGCUAACUCCGUGCCAGCAGCCGCGGUAAUACGGAGGGUGCGAGCGUUAAUCGGAAUUACUGGGCGUAAAGCGCGCGUAGGUGGCUUGAUAAGCCGGUUGUGAAAGCCCCGGGCUCAACCUGGGAACGGCAUCUGGAACUGUCAAGCUAGAGUGCAGGAGAGGAAGGUAGAAUUCCCGGUGUAGCGGUGAAAUGCGUAGAGAUCGGGAGGAAUACCAGUGGCGAAGGCGGCCUUCUGGACUGACACUGACACUGAGGUGCGAAAGCGUGGGUAGCAAACAGGAUUAGAUACCCCGGUAGUC